UGGCAAGGAGGUCACACCUGGUCCCAUGCCGAACACAGUAGUUAAGCUCCUUAGCGCCGAUGGUUGUCGGACUGUCUUUCCGCUUGUGUAGGACGUUGCCUGGC
Molecule: ribosomal RNA, 104 nt
Filed under: Staphylococcus epidermidis
Lineage: Bacteria; Bacillati; Bacillota; Bacilli; Caryophanales; Staphylococcaceae
Source: RNAcentral